Molecule: ribosomal RNA, 458 nt
Filed under: uncultured bacterium
Lineage: Bacteria
Description: bacterial SSU rRNA
Rfam family: Bacterial small subunit ribosomal RNA
Source: RNAcentral
AGAGUUUGAUCCUGGCUCAGAACGAACGCUGGCGGCAGGCCUAACACAUGCAAGUCGAGCGCACUUAUUUCCUUCGGGUUAUAGGCGAGCGGCGGACGGGUUAGUAACGCGUGGGAACGUACCCUUUACUACGGAAUAGCCUUUGGAAACGAAGAGUAAUACCGUAUACGCCCUUUGGGGGAAAGAUUUAUCGGUAAAGGAUCGGCCCGCGUUAGAUUAGAUAGUUGGUGGGGUAAUGGCCUACCAAGUCUACGAUCUAUAGCUGGUUUGAGAGGAUGAUCAGCAACACUGGGACUGAGACACGGCCCAGACUCCUACGGGAGGCAGCAGUGGGGAAUCUUAGACAAUGGGCGAAAGCCUGAUCUAGCCAUGCCGCGUGAGUGAAGAAGGCCUUAGGGUCGUAAAACUCUUUCGCCAGAGAUGAUAAUGACAGUAUCUGUAAAGAAACCCCGCUAACU